AAAACGAGUUGCACAACCCGCAAAAGUUUACAUUAUGUAAUUUUAAACAAAGGGUUUUCAUAUAGUUUACUUCCAUAAAUAUUUCAUUCCUCACUCAACAGUUACCAUUUCGUAUACGAUGAAAAUCAAUAUUCAUGCCAUAACCUUCGCAAUAAUACUUGCACAAGAAUAAGAAAACACUUCAAAAUAUCUUCAUGCAUUCAAGCAAUUUCAAGUGUCAAUUUGACACCAUC
Molecule: unclassified non-coding RNA, 233 nt
Filed under: Hevea brasiliensis (rubber tree)
Lineage: Eukaryota; Viridiplantae; Streptophyta; Magnoliopsida; Malpighiales; Euphorbiaceae
Source: RNAcentral